UGGGUAACCUGCCUCAAAGAGGGGAAUAGCCUCCCGAAAGGGAGAUUAAUACCGCAUAAUAUGUUUAAGUCGCAUGACUUUAACAUCAAAGGAUUUUUCUUUUAGAAAUUCCACUUUGAGAUGGACCCGCGGCGCAUUAGCUAGUUGGUGAGGUAACGGCUCACCAAGGCAUUGACGGGUAGCCGGCCUGAGAGAAUGACCGGCCACACUGGGACUGAGACACGGCCCAGACCUCCGUACGGGAGCA
Molecule: ribosomal RNA, 247 nt
Filed under: uncultured bacterium
Lineage: Bacteria
Description: partial 16S ribosomal RNA
Rfam family: Bacterial small subunit ribosomal RNA
Source: RNAcentral